UUUUCCCUGGCAGAGGGACAAUGGGAGGAGAAGGGGGGAGGAGGAGAGAGACAGAAGCACGAGGGAAACACUUCUAUUCCUUCUUCGUUAAAGACGCAGGAAUACCAAGAAAAGACUACGAUUCAAGGAAUUAUUGUUCCGCUCCCCUUUUGGAAAGUACAUUUACUCCCUUACUGUACUUCUACUCUAUGAUGCUUUAUACCUCUGCUCCACUGCAUUUAUUCAACAGAUUUUACAUUAAAAAUCAGCGUCCAGACUAUAAGCUUUGCAGUCCACCAGGAGCUGAUUGGUUUGGAUGAGCUUCAGGUGAUGAAGCUCUCCGUCACUCGCUGCAGAGACAGGAAAUGGUGCUGUUACACACAGGAAACGAGCUGAUGGCAGAGAUAAGGUGGACAAAUGGCUCCGGAAAUCAAAACAAGUCCAUGCUGAUGCAGCGGAGAGGAGACGGGCAGGAAUCAAAGGAACACUUUAG
Scatophagus argus is the source of this 472-nucleotide long non-coding RNA. RefSeq lists it as uncharacterized. The transcript is spliced from 3 exons. The record is from RefSeq and is a predicted model, not a curated record. NCBI's taxonomy places the organism in Eukaryota, Metazoa, Chordata, Actinopteri, Scatophagidae.